This 2881-nucleotide ribosomal RNA is filed under the name Xanthomonas arboricola. RNAcentral's name for it is "23S ribosomal RNA". It matches the Rfam family "Bacterial large subunit ribosomal RNA". RNAcentral also lists the same sequence under 1 other name. The record is from RNAcentral. Lineage: Bacteria; Pseudomonadati; Pseudomonadota; Gammaproteobacteria; Lysobacterales; Lysobacteraceae.
GGUCAAGCGAAUAAGCGCACACGGUGGAUGCCUAGGCGGUCAGAGGCGAUGAAGGACGUGGUAGCCUGCGAAAAGUGUCGGGGAGCUGGCAACAAGCUUUGAUCCGGCAAUAUCCGAAUGGGGAAACCCACUGCUUCGGCAGUAUCCUGCAGUGAAUUCAUAGCUGCUGGAAGCGAACCCGGUGAACUGAAAUAUCUAAGUAACCGGAGGAAAAGAAAUCAACCGAGAUUCCCUAAGUAGUGACGAGCGAACGGGGAGCAGCCCUUAAGCUGGAAUGGCUUUAGAAAAACAAUCUGGAAAGAUUGGCCAUAGAAGGUGAUAGCCCUGUAUUUAAAAGGGCCACUCCAGUGAAGACGAGUAGGGCGGGGCACGUGAAACCCUGUCUGAAUAUGGGGGGACCAUCCUCCAAGGCUAAAUACUCCUGACCGACCGAUAGUGAACCAGUACCGUGAGGGAAAGGCGAAAAGAACCCCGGAGAGGGGAGUGAAAUAGAUCCUGAAACCGUGUGCGUACAAGCAGUAGGAGCUCGCAAGAGUGACUGCGUACCUUUUGUAUAAUGGGUCAGCGACUUACUGUUCGUGGCAAGCUUAACCGUAUAGGGGAGGCGAAGGGAAACCGAGUCUGAUAAGGGCGCAUAGUCGCGGGCAGUAGACCCGAAACCGGGUGAUCUAGUCAUGGCCAGGGUGAAGGUGCCGUAACAGGUACUGGAGGCCCGAACCCACGUCUGUUGCAAAAGACGGGGAUGAGCUGUGAUUAGGAGUGAAAAGCUAAUCGAACCCGGAGAUAGCUGGUUCUCCUCGAAAGCUAUUUAGGUAGCGCCUCGGACGAAUACUACUGGGGGUAGAGCACUGUUAUGGCUAGGGGGUCAUCGCGACUUACCAAACCAUUGCAAACUCCGAAUACCAGUACGUACUAUCCGGGAGACACACGGCGGGUGCUAACGUCCGUCGUGAAAAGGGAAACAACCCAGACCCACAGCUAAGGUCCCAAAUUUACUGCUAAGUGGAAAACGAUGUGGAAAGGCAUAGACAGCCAGGAGGUUGGCUUAGAAGCAGCCACCCUUUAAAGAAAGCGUAAUAGCUCACUGGUCGAGUCGGUCUGCGCGGAAGAUUUAACGGGGCUAAGCAGUGAACCGAAGCUUGGGGUGCAUAAAACUUGUUUUAUGCGCGGUAGAGGAGCGUUCCGUAAGCCUGCGAAGGUGGAUUGAGAAGUCUGCUGGAGGUAUCGGAAGUGCGAAUGCUGACAUGAGUAACGAUAAUGCGGGUGAAAAGCCCGCACGCCGAAAGCCCAAGGUUUCCUUGCGCAACGUUAAUCGACGCAGGGUUAGUCGGUCCCUAAGGCGAGGGCGAAAGCCGUAGUCGAUGGGAAGCAGGUUAAUAUUCCUGCACCUCGCGUGAGUGCGAUGGAGGGACGGAGAAGGUUAGGUGUACCGGGCGUUGGUUGUCCCGGGGAAAGGCGGUAGGUUUGGAUCUUUGGCAAAUCCGGGAUCCUUUAAGACCGAGCACCGAGACGAGCCUUUAUGGCGAAGUCACUGAUACCACGCUUCCAGGAAAAGCUCCUAAGCUUCAGCUCACGAAGACCGUACCGUAAACCGACACAGGUGGGUAGGAUGAGAAUUCUCAGGCGCUUGAGAGAACUCGGGUGAAGGAACUAGGCAACAUGGCACCGUAACUUCGGGAGAAGGUGCACCCUUUUUGGUGGCUCAUGCGAGCUAUAGCUGAAGAGGGUCGCAGAAACCAGGCCGCUGCGACUGUUUAUCAAAAACACAGCACUCUGCAAACACGAAAGUGGACGUAUAGGGUGUGACGCCUGCCCGGUGCUGGAAGGUUAAUUGAUGGGGUCAGCCGCAAGGCGAAGCUCUUGAUCGAAGCCCCAGUAAACGGCGGCCGUAACUAUAACGGUCCUAAGGUAGCGAAAUUCCUUGUCGGGUAAGUUCCGACCUGCACGAAUGGCGUAACGACAGCGGCGCUGUCUCCACCCGAGACUCAGUGAAAUUGAAAUCGCUGUGAAGAUGCAGCGUUCCCGUGGCAAGACGGAAAGACCCCGUGAACCUUUACUAUAGCUUUACACUGAACGUUGAGUUCGUCUGUGUAGGAUAGGUGGGAGGCUAUGAAACUGUGGCGCUAGCUGCAGUGGAGCCAUCCUUGAAAUACCACCCUGUCGUGCUUGACGUUCUAACCUAGAUCCGUUAUCCGGAUCAGGGACCGUGUAUGGUGGGUAGUUUGACUGGGGCGGUCUCCUCCUAAAGAGUAACGGAGGAGCACGAAGGUACGCUCAGCGCGGUCGGACAUCGCGCACUGUGUGCAAAGGCAUAAGCGUGCUUGACUGCAAGAUCGACGGAUCAAGCAGGUACGAAAGUAGGUCUUAGUGAUCCGGUGGUUCUGUAUGGAAGGGCCAUCGCUCAACGGAUAAAAGGUACUCCGGGGAUAACAGGCUGAUACCGCCCAAGAGUUCAUAUCGACGGCGGUGUUUGGCACCUCGAUGUCGGCUCAUCACAUCCUGGGGCUGUAGUCGGUCCCAAGGGUAUGGCUGUUCGCCAUUUAAAGUGGUACGCGAGCUGGGUUCAGAACGUCGUGAGACAGUUCGGUCCCUAUCUGCCAUGGGCGUUGGAAGUUUGAGAGGGGCUGCUCCUAGUACGAGAGGACCGGAGUGGACGAACCUCUGGUGUUCCGGUUGUCACGCCAGUGGCAUUGCCGGGUAGCUAUGUUCGGAAGCGAUAACCGCUGAAAGCAUCUAAGCGGGAAGCGCGCCUCAAGAUGAGACUUCCCGGGGCACAAGCCCCCUAAAGGAACCAUAUAGACUAUGUGGUUGAUAGGUCAGGUGUGUAAGUACAGCAAUGUAUUGAGCUAACUGAUACUAAUGAUCCGUGCGGCUUGACCAU